UACGGAGGAUUCAAGCGUUAUCCGGAUUUAUUGGGUUUAAAGGGUGCGUAGGCGGCGAGUUAAGUCAGCGGUAAAAGCCCGGGGCUCAACCCCGGCCCGCCGUUGAAACUGGCGGCCUCGAGUGGGCGAGAAGUAUGCGGAAUGCGUGGUGUAGCGGUGAAAUGCAUAGAUAUCACGCAGAACCCCGAUUGCGAAGGCAGCAUACCGGCGCCCUACUGACGCUGAGGCACGAAAGUGCGGGUAUCGAACAGG
This 252-nucleotide ribosomal RNA is filed under the name uncultured Bacteroidales bacterium. RNAcentral describes it as "partial 16S ribosomal RNA". It matches the Rfam family "Bacterial small subunit ribosomal RNA", at positions 524 to 776 of the family's 1533-position model. Lineage: Bacteria; Pseudomonadati; Bacteroidota; Bacteroidia; Bacteroidales. The record is from RNAcentral.